This 425-nucleotide ribosomal RNA is filed under the name uncultured bacterium. Its description in RNAcentral is "bacterial SSU rRNA". It matches the Rfam family "Bacterial small subunit ribosomal RNA", at positions 354 to 796 of the family's 1533-position model. The record is from RNAcentral.
GUGGGGAAUAUUGGACAAUGGGCGCAAGCCUGAUCCAGCCAUGCCGCGUGAGUGAUGAAGGCCUUAGGGUUAUAAAGCUCUUUCAGUGGGGACGAUAAUGACGGUACCCACAGAAGAAGCCCCGGCUAACUUCGUGCCAGCAGCCGCGGUAAUACGAAGGGGGCUAGCGUUGUUCGGAUUUACUGGGCGUAAAGCGCACGUAGGCGGGUCGUUAAGUCGGGGGUGAAAUCCUGGAGCUCAACUCCAGAACUGCCUUCGAUACUGGCGACCUAGAGUCCGGAAGAGGUGAGUGGAACUCCUAGUGUAGAGGUGGAAUUCGUAGAUAUUAGGAAGAACACCAGUGGCGAAGGCGGCUCACUGGUCCGGUACUGACGCUGAGGUGCGAAAGCGUGGGGAGCAAACAGGAUUAGAUACCCGAGUAGUCC